This 474-nucleotide ribosomal RNA is filed under the name uncultured organism. RNAcentral describes it as "partial 16S ribosomal RNA". It matches the Rfam family "Bacterial small subunit ribosomal RNA", at positions 332 to 797 of the family's 1533-position model. The record is from RNAcentral.
UACACUCCUACGGGAGGCAGCAGUGGGGAAUUUUGGACAAUGGGCGAAAGCCUGAUCCAGCAAUGCCGCGUGAGUGAAGAAGGCCUUCGGGUUGUAAAGCUCUUUUGUCAGGGAAGAAACGGUGAAAGCUAAUAUCUUUUGCUAAUGACGGUACCUGAAGAAUAAGCACCGGCUAACUACGUGCCAGCAGCCGCGGUAAUACGUAGGGUGCAAGCGUUAAUCGGAAUUACUGGGCGUAAAGCGUGCGCAGGCGGUUUUGUAAGUCUGAUGUGAAAUCCCCGGGCUCAACCUGGGAAUUGCAUGGGAGACUGCAAGGCUAGAAUCUGGCAGAGGGGGGUAGAAUUCCACGUGUAGCAGUGAAAUGCGUAGAUAUGUGGAGGAACACCGAUGGCGAAGGCAGCCCCCUGGGUCAAGAUUGACGCUCAUGCACGAAAGCGUGGGGAGCAAACAGGAUUAGAUACCCCUGUAGUCCCA